Molecule: unclassified non-coding RNA, 2314 nt
Filed under: Pomacea canaliculata
Lineage: Eukaryota; Metazoa; Mollusca; Gastropoda; Architaenioglossa; Ampullariidae
Description: uncharacterized LOC112569141, transcript variant X3
Source: RNAcentral
UUAUGCAAGAGAGAGAAUUUGAGUGUGUGGUGUGCGUAUGUUUGAGAAUGAGAAAAAAUGUUAUCUAUGGCAAACCUAAACAUUGUAUAUUGAGCAUUAUCUAUAUAUAUAUAUGCCAACCGUUUGACAGAAAAUGAACAGUUCAAACAAAUGAAAGAGGAAAACAAAGAAACCAACACAAGAACAGAAGGCGGAGGAAGCCACUCUACUCCUGAUGUAACUGGUGAUCAAUAGUUCAAGCCUGUCAGCUGGCGCAGUCGCUGGGAGUGAGGUCCCCUGCCUGUGUCAAUUAAUUAAUCAUCACUAUGGUAACCCCCUGGAGGAGGAGGUGUAGACUUUACUGCCAUUGUCUAAAAUGCUCAGUGCCUGACUACGCAUGUUUAUGUCGUAACCUUGGUGACAGGCUCAAAUUUGGUGGUGAUGAUUGUGGUGCAUCAUGGUGCCGAUAUCAAUCUCCACGGGAUGUAAAGGAUUUUCUGCUCUGUUAUUUAUUAUGUAUGCAACAGAAAACUGUAGAUACUCGAAAUUGUCUGCAGUAGCUGUCAUUUUUAUCAGCUAUGUCUUCACCUACAGCAAAGUUAUUGCAAUCGUGAUUUCACAAUCGUCUUCACAAUCACACAGACCAAACAGACAGGACACCCAUGUUUCUGUUUCAAAAUGGCGUGCUCUGCUUUGGGACUAAACUAUUUUUUUAGAUGUCAAAAGCUUCUUUCAUACCAAGCAACCGGCGUGAGUUGAAUAUAUUCAUGGAUUUUUUUUCCCCCCGUGGAAAGGUAAAUGAAGUCCUACUGAUGGUGUCGACUCCUUGCAGGCUGCACUGCAUGUUGCUUGGCGGCGGUGGACAUCUGGAUCCUGGCCUUGCCUGCGCUUCACAGGCCGACUGGACGGACGGUUGAUCGGCGGGUCGACCAAACAAGGUCGGCCCUUGAGGGAUGAAGCUUCUGGCAAAGGUUAUACUGUUGUCCGUGACCUCUGUGAUUCUUAUUCUGAUUUUCUGGAUUAUAAAGGACCAACCGAUUGGUCACGUGGCCAGGACGUCAUGCUUCUCUACUAACCUGACGCUCGUCUCUGCGUUUUUCGACAUCGGUGAUCACAACAAAGGAGAAGGUCGGAGAGCAGUUUCAGAGUAUUACACCUGGGGCACAAUCUUCUCCUACAUCCACACGCCCCUUGUUUUCUACACGGACUCGAAAAUAUUCGCUCAACACUUGUUGGACGUGCGAUCUCGGCUCCCUCUCAACUUAACCCACAUAGUGCUACUCGAUCGGGCCUCACUGUGGCCGUUCAAACUCAGGGACUCCAUUGCAAGCCUGUACGCCGAUCCAAAUUACCCCAAGCAUCCACCGAACACCGUGGUACCCGACUACACCUGCGCGAUGCACUCCAAAUACGCAUGUCUGAAGGACGCCAUUUUACGUCAACCACCUCUUGUGACGUCAGACUACGUGGCUGGAUAGACAUCGGCUAUUUCCGUGACCUGGAGGGCGAUAAUAAAGAGUACUGCCUUCUCCUCCCUCCAUCAGUGACCAAGAGCGCAGUGCUGUUUAACCAGCUGACCGUGCCCGAUUUCUCCCUCACACCUCAUGACAUUUUCUACAAAAACUUUGUCUGGGUGGGCGGAGGGAUGUUCGUAGCUGCGCGUGACGUGAUGCUGAAGUUCUGUGACGAAUAUCAAAGGGCAGCAACCUUUUUCCUCACUCAUCGUCAGCUCAGCUCCACGGACCAGCAGACGCUGUACGCUUCUAUGACCUACGAAGGUCGGCGUGACGUCAACUUGACGGUUGACAUUCAGGUGGAGCCAGGAGAGCAUGACUGGUUCGAUCUGGGAUUAUCCGUCCUUCGUGAAAUUGACAGUUGAUCCCUACUCUACUAGAAACUUUAGUCUGGAAACUAUGGAAAUACAUCUGGAAGAAGGUUGAGAUCUCAAAGCCACGUGCAUCAAGAUCAUCAUCGUCAUCGUCAUCGUCAUCGUCGUCGUCGUCGUCCUCAAGAGUCACCAGAAUCGUCGAACCCUGGCAAGCAGGAAGUAUGUGCUUGAUGACCGCUGGGCCACUGAGUGUUAGGGUUUCUAGAGGAUUAGCUGAUGUGAAGAUAAGAGAUUUUUAUGGCUUUUCAAGUCGAGUGGCAGUCGCCACUUCAGUAUUUAUGAUCAGGGUGCAAAUCUAGUCCGGCACUGUACACAGGAGAGACAGAGAAAUGUAAAAAAGUGGAAAAAUACUGUUGACAAAUUGGUUCAUAUGAUUAAAUAUAAAUCAAUGUUUGUUCUCCAGAGGAAAUCCGUCCUCGUCUUGGGAUGUUGAACCCGUCUUCACUU